AGCGCAGGCGGGAAGACAAGUUGGAAGUGAAAUCCAUGGGCUCAACCCAUGAACUGCUUUCAAAACUGUUUUUCUUUGAGUAGUGCAGAGGUAGACGGAAUUCCCGGUGUAGCGGUGGAAUGCGUAGAUAUCGGGAGGAACACCAGUGGCGAAGGCGGCCUACUGGGCACCAACUGACGCUGAGGCUCGAAAGUGUGGGUAGCAAACA
This 208-nucleotide ribosomal RNA is filed under the name uncultured bacterium. RNAcentral's name for it is "partial 16S ribosomal RNA". It matches the Rfam family "Bacterial small subunit ribosomal RNA", at positions 568 to 774 of the family's 1533-position model. The record is from RNAcentral.